This 253-nucleotide ribosomal RNA is filed under the name uncultured bacterium. Its description in RNAcentral is "partial 16S ribosomal RNA". It matches the Rfam family "Bacterial small subunit ribosomal RNA", at positions 524 to 776 of the family's 1533-position model. The record is from RNAcentral.
UACGAAGGGGGCUAGCGUUGCUCGGAAUCACUGGGCGUAAAGGGCGCGUAGGCGGAUGUCUAAGUUGGGGGUGAAAUCCCGGGGCUCAACCUCGGAACCGCCUUCAAUACUGGGUAUCUUGAGUUCGGGAGAGGUGAGUGGAAUGCCGAGUGUAGAGGUGAAAUUCGUAGAUAUUCGGCGGAACACCAGUGGCGAAGGCGACUCACUGGCCCGAUACUGACGCUGAGGCGCGAAAGCGUGGGGAGCAAACAGG